This 243-nucleotide ribosomal RNA is filed under the name Staphylococcus epidermidis. RNAcentral's name for it is "partial 16S ribosomal RNA". It matches the Rfam family "Bacterial small subunit ribosomal RNA", at positions 160 to 397 of the family's 1533-position model. Lineage: Bacteria; Bacillati; Bacillota; Bacilli; Caryophanales; Staphylococcaceae. The record is from RNAcentral.
GAGCUAAUACCGGAUAAUAUAUUGAACCGCAUGGUUCAAUAGUGAAAGACGGUUUUGCUGUCACUUAUAGAUGGAUCCGCGCCGCAUUAGCUAGUUGGUAAGGUAACGGCUUACCAAGGCAACGAUGCGUAGCCGACCUGAGAGGGUGAUCGGCCACACUGGAACUGAGACACGGUCCAGACUCCUACGGGAGGCAGCAGUAGGGAAUCUUCCGCAAUGGGCGAAAGCCUGACGGAGCAACGC